Long non-coding RNA from Xiphophorus hellerii (green swordtail), 1263 nucleotides. RefSeq lists it as uncharacterized. The record is from RefSeq and is a predicted model, not a curated record. The transcript has 2 exons. Lineage: Eukaryota; Metazoa; Chordata; Actinopteri; Cyprinodontiformes; Poeciliidae.
CCUCCUACGCCCCCACCCCCCCCCUCUACUAGAUACUACGGGAUCUCUAUAAAAAGCCUACGGUUUGAUGGGAGAGCCCGGUCUGUAUUGGGAGAGCGACUUUGGAGAAGACGGACGGCAGUUUGGCGGGGAUGAAGAGACCAGAGAGGGAGAGAUGUUUCUAUGCAAAGCGCGGCCAGUCAGGAAACUUUAACUGAGAUUUCCACAUGGAAGAGGACUUUGCUCCCUUCUUUUCCUCAUCCUGCCAGCGCAUCAGCACCUUGGCUUUAGACUGCUUACUGCUUAUACAGUGUCACAGUACAGUAACAGUCUACAGUCAUGGCUACUGAAGCCUGGCGAUUCAUCAGACACCUCUGCGAGGGGAGUGUAGAUGUGGAAAACAGCCCAAUGACAGUGCGCAGUGCUUUUAAAAUGGCCGACCUGAUAGCAGAGUGUCAACGUGUGAGUCAGUGAUCUCGCUCCGUCUCUCUUUUUCUCUCUCUCUCUCUCUUUCCUUCUCUCCCGCUGUGUCUGUUUUUUCCCUCCUGCUAAGAGAGGAAACCUGUGUGGGCUUGCAUUGGGGGAGUCCUACACCCUGCAAGUGCGUAACGUUCACACUAAAACCAAUGAGACGUUGCAGUUUCCAGUUACCAUGCCAACUCCAGCUCCACCUCAACCUGGCUGUCUCCAUGGUGACCGUGGCUUUAGAUUGUUACUCUAGCAACAGCACCAUGGUAACAGUCUACAGCCAUGGUCGUUAGGGGCAGAUGUCAUCAGGAACAGAAAAUUUGAGGUCAAUAAGUUUUAUGUGUUUGUUAAAGAAAAACAUUGAAAAUUCUUUUUAAAUAGCAAUGUCAUCUAUCUGUCUGUCUGUCUGUCUGUCUAUCUAUCUAUCUAUCUAUCUAUCUAUCUAUCUAAAUACAUACACAAUCAGGAAUUAUUAAUAAUAAAUAGUUUGAAUUUCUAUCAUAUGCUCCAACAGAUGGAAUCAAUUAUUUAAGAGGAAACAAUUGGAAAGGGUUUAAGUUUAUUUUAUUAAUCAGUUUAUCAAUAGUUUUAUUUUGUAGAACAUUAUACUAAUCCUAUGUAGUUGUGCAGUCAAGCAUGAAUUAAUUUUCUCAUGUCAAGUUUCAUUAAAAGGAAUUUGACUUUAGAUGGUCCAGCUUUGAUGAAAUGAGCCUUUGGAUGCGCUACGUAUUGAUUAUUGAAGAUUAAGAUAAAAUCCAAAGUCAGGCCUACAUUUAAACCAGCAGGGAUAAUAACAACAAAAAAGUUUUUAUGUUU